RNAcentral lists this ribosomal RNA (514 nucleotides) under uncultured bacterium. RNAcentral describes it as "partial 16S ribosomal RNA". It matches the Rfam family "Bacterial small subunit ribosomal RNA", at positions 28 to 523 of the family's 1533-position model. The record is from RNAcentral.
GAUGAACGCGGGCGGCGUGCCUAAUACAUGCAAGUCGAGCGAAUGGAUUAAGAGCUUGCUCUAUGAAGUUAGCGGCGGACGGGUGAGUAACACGUGGGUAACCUGCCCAUAAGACUGGGAUAACUCCGGGAAACCGGGGCUAAUACCGGAUAACAUUUUGAACCGCAUGGUUCGAAAUUGAAAGGCGGCUUCGGCUGUCACUUAUGGAUGGACCCGCGUCGCAUUAGCUAGUUGGUGAGGUAACGGCUCACCAAGGCAACGAUGCGUAGCCGACCUGAGAGGGUGAUCGGCCACACUGGGACUGAGGCACGGCCCGGACUCCUACGGGAGGCAGCAGUAGGGAAUCUUCCGCAAUGGACGAAAGUCUGACGGAGCAACGCCGCGUGAGUGAUGAAGGCUUUCGGGUCGUAAAACUCUGUUGUUAGGGAAGAACAAGUGCUAGUUGAAUAAGCUGGCACCUUGACGGUACCUAACCAGAAAGCCACGGCUAACUACGUGCCAGCCGCCGCGGUAA